GACGAACGCUGGCGGCGCGCUUAACACAUGCAAGUCGAGCGACGAAAGGUCCUUCGGGACCCGUGAAAGCGGCGAACGGGUGAGUAACACGUGGGUAACCAACCCUCCGGUUCCGGGAUAGCCCGAGGAAACUCGGAUUAAUACCGGAUGGCCUCUAGAGCUCACGGGCUCGAGAGGAAAGGUAGCGUUCGGCCUCCGACCGAGGACGGGCCCGCGGGCCGAUUAGCUUGUUGGUGAGGCAACGGCUCACCAAGGCGGACGAUCGGUAGCUGGUCUGAGAGGACGAUCAGCCACACUGGGACUGAGACACGGCCCAGACUCCUACGGGAGGCAGCAGUGGGGAAUCUUGCGCAAUGGGCGAAAGCCUGACGCAGCGACGCCGCGUGCGGGAAG
This 393-nucleotide ribosomal RNA is filed under the name uncultured bacterium. RNAcentral's name for it is "bacterial SSU rRNA". It matches the Rfam family "Bacterial small subunit ribosomal RNA", at positions 28 to 410 of the family's 1533-position model. The record is from RNAcentral.